CAGUCGCCGCGGUAAUACGAAGGGGGCUAGCGUUGCUCGGAUUUACUGGGCGUAAAGGGCGCGUAGGCGGACAGUUAAGUUGGGGGUGAAAGCCCGGGGCUCAACCUCGGAAUUGCCUUCAAUACUGGCUGUCUUGAGUGUGAGAGAGGUGUGUGGAACUCCGAGUGUAGAGGUGAAAUUCGUAGAUAUUCGGAAGAACACCAGUGGUGAAGGCGACACACUGGCUCACUACUGACGCUGAGGCGCGAAAGCGUGGGGAGCAAACAGGAUUAGAUACCCGCGUAGUCCCUGUCUCUUAUAC
RNAcentral lists this ribosomal RNA (301 nucleotides) under uncultured bacterium. RNAcentral's name for it is "partial 16S ribosomal RNA". It matches the Rfam family "Bacterial small subunit ribosomal RNA", at positions 509 to 807 of the family's 1533-position model. The record is from RNAcentral.